This 2058-nucleotide ribosomal RNA is filed under the name Escherichia coli UMEA 3318-1. Its description in RNAcentral is "bacterial LSU rRNA". It matches the Rfam family "Bacterial large subunit ribosomal RNA", at positions 890 to 2925 of the family's 2925-position model. The record is from RNAcentral. Lineage: Bacteria; Pseudomonadati; Pseudomonadota; Gammaproteobacteria; Enterobacterales; Enterobacteriaceae.
UCAUCUCCGGGGGUAGAGCACUGUUUCGGCAAGGGGGUCAUCCCGACUUACCAACCCGAUGCAAACUGCGAAUACCGGAGAAUGUUAUCACGGGAGACACACGGCGGGUGCUAACGUCCGUCGUGAAGAGGGAAACAACCCAGACCGCCAGCUAAGGUCCCAAAGUCAUGGUUAAGUGGGAAACGAUGUGGGAAGGCCCAGACAGCCAGGAUGUUGGCUUAGAAGCAGCCAUCAUUUAAAGAAAGCGUAAUAGCUCACUGGUCGAGUCGGCCUGCGCGGAAGAUGUAACGGGGCUAAACCAUGCACCGAAGCUGCGGCAGCGACGCUGAUGCGUUGUUGGGUAGGGGAGCGUUCUGUAAGCCUGCGAAGGUGUGCUGUGAGGCAUGCUGGAGGUAUCAGAAGUGCGAAUGCUGACAUAAGUAACGAUAAAGCGGGUGAAAAGCCCGCUCGCCGGAAGACCAAGGGUUCCUGUCCAACGUUAAUCGGGGCAGGGUGAGUCGACCCCUAAGGCGAGGCCGAAAGGCGUAGUCGAUGGGAAACAGGUUAAUAUUCCUGUACUUGGUGUUACUGCGAAGGGGGGACGGAGAAGGCUAUGUUGGCCGGGCGACGGUUGUCCCGGUUUAAGCGUGUAGGCUGGUUUUCCAGGCAAAUCCGGAAAAUCAAGGCUGAGGCGUGAUGACGAGGCACUACGGUGCUGAAGCAACAAAUGCCCUGCUUCCAGGAAAAGCCUCUAAGCAUCAGGUAACAUCAAAUCGUACCCCAAACCGACACAGGUGGUCAGGUAGAGAAUACCAAGGCGCUUGAGAGAACUCGGGUGAAGGAACUAGGCAAAAUGGUGCCGUAACUUCGGGAGAAGGCACGCUGAUAUGUAGGUGAAGUCCCUCGCGGAUGGAGCUGAAAUCAGUCGAAGAUACCAGCUGGCUGCAACUGUUUAUUAAAAACACAGCACUGUGCAAACACGAAAGUGGACGUAUACGGUGUGACGCCUGCCCGGUGCCGGAAGGUUAAUUGAUGGGGUCAGCGCAAGCGAAGCUCUUGAUCGAAGCCCCGGUAAACGGCGGCCGUAACUAUAACGGUCCUAAGGUAGCGAAAUUCCUUGUCGGGUAAGUUCCGACCUGCACGAAUGGCGUAAUGAUGGCCAGGCUGUCUCCACCCGAGACUCAGUGAAAUUGAACUCGCUGUGAAGAUGCAGUGUACCCGCGGCAAGACGGAAAGACCCCGUGAACCUUUACUAUAGCUUGACACUGAACAUUGAGCCUUGAUGUGUAGGAUAGGUGGGAGGCUUUGAAGUGUGGACGCCAGUCUGCAUGGAGCCGACCUUGAAAUACCACCCUUUAAUGUUUGAUGUUCUAACGUUGACCCGUAAUCCGGGUUGCGGACAGUGUCUGGUGGGUAGUUUGACUGGGGCGGUCUCCUCCUAAAGAGUAACGGAGGAGCACGAAGGUUGGCUAAUCCUGGUCGGACAUCAGGAGGUUAGUGCAAUGGCAUAAGCCAGCUUGACUGCGAGCGUGACGGCGCGAGCAGGUGCGAAAGCAGGUCAUAGUGAUCCGGUGGUUCUGAAUGGAAGGGCCAUCGCUCAACGGAUAAAAGGUACUCCGGGGAUAACAGGCUGAUACCGCCCAAGAGUUCAUAUCGACGGCGGUGUUUGGCACCUCGAUGUCGGCUCAUCACAUCCUGGGGCUGAAGUAGGUCCCAAGGGUAUGGCUGUUCGCCAUUUAAAGUGGUACGCGAGCUGGGUUUAGAACGUCGUGAGACAGUUCGGUCCCUAUCUGCCGUGGGCGCUGGAGAACUGAGGGGGGCUGCUCCUAGUACGAGAGGACCGGAGUGGACGCAUCACUGGUGUUCGGGUUGUCAUGCCAAUGGCACUGCCCGGUAGCUAAAUGCGGAAGAGAUAAGUGCUGAAAGCAUCUAAGCACGAAACUUGCCCCGAGAUGAGUUCUCCCUGACCCUUUAAGGGUCCUGAAGGAACGUUGAAGACGACGACGUUGAUAGGCCGGGUGUGUAAGCGCAGCGAUGCGUUGAGCUAACCGGUACUAAUGAACCGUGAGGCUUAACCUU